UUUUAUUUAUAUAGCGCAUUAUACAAUACAGAUGGUUUCAAAGGAGCUUCACACACAUAAAAUAACUUGCAAAUGUCAACAAUUAUGAAAUGACUAAUGUAGAGCUGUUUUGCAGUUGAAAUUAAAGAAAAUAGGGUUAUUAUUCAGCUCAAUUCUGUUCAUCUUUUGCUUCUGAUAGUCAAUCAGUCAAGUCAAUAACAUUUCUGAAUGUUAAUUGUCAUUCCCCAACUGAGCAGCCAAAGGCACUUGAUCUCAAGCUACAAAUCAGACAAAACAUGUAGGCUACCCAUUUACAGUGAUCUUGCUGAAAAGAAGAAACCCAGUUUACUCUCUCACACCUGUAUCUUUGGCUUGAUUUCACUGUCCAGUAUUGGAACUUUGAAUUGUAAUAUUCUACUUCUGUCUUCUUAGGAUAAAUAAUAUAUACCAUCUCAACAAUGUCCUGAAAGUAUACCUUAACCAGAGUUUGUGUAUCACCAUGGUCCUCAAAGUAUGACUUGAUCAGAGUUUGUGUUUAAUGUCCCCAAAAGCGACAUAUAAAAUAAUGUCCCUAAAGUGAUGGUAAAAUGUCAGGUCUUUAAGGAAGGCUUUUAUUGAUCAAAUCAAGUGAUAUUUGUGAUGACAGCUUCUCCAGAAGUGCAGUCAUAUCUUUCUUUAGUCUCUAGACCCUUCAGAAAGGGGUGUCCCUAAAGGUAGGGUUUCCAGUCAUACGUCCUCACAUUGUGGUUAAGUAGGUAUGUGUGUGUGUGUGUGUGUGUGUGUGUGUCUUUGUGUCAGUUUGAAAUUGCUGCAAAUGUACUGUGCCCACAGCUCACUGGCUCUGCUUCGGUGACAUCACUGAAGGUGAGACUGCUUCCCCCCCCACUGUUACUGUAUCAACUGAGUGGAGGUGACAGUGAAAUCAAAGCUGUCCUUUGGGAUUUUUCAUCAAAGUUUCACAUCUGACCCGGACCCUCACUUACUUCGAGUCCUUUUGCAAUGGCUGAACAAGCUGAGAGGAGAAAAGCUGACCGGCGCUUCACUGCUUGGUUUGCCACAGACCGCAGGAGAACCUACCUGUCCACCUGGCGAGAAACAGCACGCCGGAACAAAUAGCCUCAGAGGUUCAAAAGACGGAGUCCAGCAAGCACUGGAUGUUUAGAGCUAGGACGUGGGACCACAGCCACAUUUGUGCCCUCCAUUUGUGCAGAACCUCGCAGGAGAACUUCUGAACCGUGGCUUCUUCGUGACAGACCUGCCCCUAGGAGCCCGGAGCCGGAGGUUUGGCGGAGGAGGCUGAUGACCCGUCCUGUCUUCAUGAAAAAUAAGUGUACUCUGACCGUGCAACACAUGUGCGAAACACAAAAAGCACCACGAGAGGAUCCACGCUACCUGAAAGAAGGCCGCCUUCUGAAUCCAACGAUACCAGUU
Long non-coding RNA from Carassius auratus (goldfish), 1410 nucleotides. RefSeq lists it as uncharacterized. Lineage: Eukaryota; Metazoa; Chordata; Actinopteri; Cypriniformes; Cyprinidae. The record is from RefSeq and is a predicted model, not a curated record. The transcript has 3 exons.